UUUAUUUCCUAGGACUCUCCCUUCUCGUUUUAUCAGUGGAAGUUUCGUCUCCCCAGGGUUGCGUAAAAACUAGGAGAGAAAAAGAAUUAGUUCUCCAGUCUUGCCCACUCCCUAAGUUUCCGUCCAGUAAUGAAAUCGAGCUUAAUUUAACUUAUAUAAACUCACAGGGAAAUGAGGUAAGUCCGCAAGAAGACCAUUUCUAGUAUGAGAAAGUUACAUCCUUAGAUUAUUCUCAUAAUAAGAUUUCUUCUUUUGAAGAUGAAUCGCAGAGGUUUGUUAGUGUAUCGCAGAUUGUUACAAGACAACGAGUUAACUGUCAUUACCGAUGCCUCUUCGAAAAAGAUUAUCUCUCCGAAGGAGGCAAAAUUUGUAUCUGUAC
This is a long non-coding RNA of Zophobas morio, 379 nucleotides long. RefSeq lists it as uncharacterized. The transcript has 5 exons. NCBI's taxonomy places the organism in Eukaryota, Metazoa, Arthropoda, Insecta, Coleoptera, Tenebrionidae. The record is from RefSeq and is a predicted model, not a curated record.